ACAUCACCUCGUCUCCUCUCCAGCCAGGCAGACCCUGCCAGGAGGGCGUGGGCAAAGCGUGCGACCCGAGGAGCGCGGCAUUCUUAGGAGAAUGCUGAGCAAAGGACCACAGCCUGGUGACCAUAGGACAUUCCCAGCAGAUGAGGCAGCCUCCAUUAAAAAGCGACAUGGAUUCUCAUCCCCAGAUGUCUGAAAGAUAAGUCGAGGGCUAAGGCCCACAGAGGGGAUGAAAGCAACGUGCUGGGAGGGCCUUUUGAAACAGCUUCGGGGUCAGGGAUGUUUGAGAAGUGUCCCCUUAGGCCCUCUAAAGGGAAAGUGUCUGUUUUGAUCACAGUGCUGAGGUGCACUGGGCAGAGCAGUUCUGGUGUGUGUCCUGUCACUUGUCUCUGGUGCACUCUGUGUUGUUUGGGUCUCUCGGUCCUUUCUUCUCAUCAAAAGCUCUCUCUCCCUCUCCUGUCCCCUCAUUUGUCAGGUCCUGUCCCGUGUCACGGGUGUCCUGUCCUGUCUCCCGGAGCUGCUCUGCCCUGCUGCCUAGCCUGUAAUAGCACAAGUCCUGGGGACUGGAAAUUGGUAAUGCAGGGUGUAUUUGAGCUCUAGAUUGUAUUAGGAGAUUGAUGUAAGAUGUCUGGUGCUGUUAAGUUGUCUUGCAGCCUUUUAACACUAGUCCUAACAUCCUUUCAGAUGCAGACAGUUCAAAUCAGUGGCAGAGAGCCCCAAACCUGGGUGAGGAACUUCCAUGAACCGGUCAGUCAUUGUUUGCAUUUGCAGGGGAAGCCUAAAUGGUGACUGUGUGACAGCAGUGUUCUUUGCCUCUGUUUUUAUGAGGUCCAGGCAGAUAGCAGCAGUCAAGGCCCAGUGUGCCAGGUGAGCAGUGGACAGAAGCAGUUGUUUUUGCUCAGGUCUCAAUGUUUGGUGCAACUCUAAGCAUCCAUUCUUGUUUUUGUGCUUUAGGGAAUCCUCUCAGGGUGCACAUACCUCUGUCACCAACUGGCUGAAGGACCAGGUUUCAUGCUCUUGUGAUCUCGCUGGAAGCAUUGCAGGACCCUGUGAUGGACCUCCCAGUUUUGCUUUUCAAGGUCCCAUCCUGGUAGCUCAGAGGAAUGGCCGAGGAGUUGCGGUGUACCCUGCAAUGACGGCGUCAGAAUCCAAGCAUGCCCGACGCGUGCAGGCCAAGAACCCGGGCAUUCUGAGGAGAAUAACCAAGAGGUGACAGCCAUAACUUACCAGACAGGGAGAUGCCCUUCUUCUGCAGCCAACGGGGAUUUGCAUCCCCAGAUGAGUGCAAGAUAAGUGGAAGAUGCAGACAGUUCAAAUCAGUGGCAGAAGGCCCCAGUCCUGGCUGAGGGUGUUGCCAUGAGCAGGAGGUCCAGGCAGAUAGCAGCAAUCAAGGCCCAGUGUGCCAGGGAAGCCACUUGGAGUAUGCCAAGCCCCUCUCACCAGCUGGCCGAUGGACUUCCUGUGCUUGUGAGUCCUCUGGAAGUAUUUCAGGAGUCUUGAGAUGAAGCCUUGAAAUUUUGUAUUUCAAGAUGGCAUCUGGGUAGCCUUUGGCAAUGGCCAAGGAGCUGUGGUGAGACGCCGAGGUAGAGAGGGGGAGCCAAGGUCCACUUUGGUUUCAGCAGUGCUGAGUCA
Non-coding RNA from Taeniopygia guttata (zebra finch), 1629 nucleotides. The record is from RefSeq and is a predicted model, not a curated record. Lineage: Eukaryota; Metazoa; Chordata; Aves; Passeriformes; Estrildidae.